GUCCACUGAACCUUAUCAUUUAGAGGAAGGAGAAGUCGUA
This 40-nucleotide ribosomal RNA is filed under the name Peyritschia viridis. Its description in RNAcentral is "Trisetum viride partial 18S ribosomal RNA". The record is from RNAcentral. Lineage: Eukaryota; Viridiplantae; Streptophyta; Magnoliopsida; Poales; Poaceae.